UACGUAGGGGGCAAGCGUUGUCCGGAUUUACUGGGCGUAAAGGGCGCGUAGGCGGCUUUUCAAGUCGGGCGUGAAAUCUCCGGGCUUAACCCGGAAGGGUCGUUCGAUACUGUUGAGCUAGAGUGUGGAAGAGGCAACUAGAAUUCCGUGUGUAGCGGUGAAAUGCGUAGAUAUACGGAGGAAUACCUGAGGCGAAGGCGGGUUGCUGGGCCAACACUGACGCUGAGGCGCGAAAGCCAGGGGAGCAAACGGG
RNAcentral lists this ribosomal RNA (253 nucleotides) under uncultured bacterium. Its description in RNAcentral is "partial 16S ribosomal RNA". It matches the Rfam family "Bacterial small subunit ribosomal RNA", at positions 524 to 776 of the family's 1533-position model. The record is from RNAcentral.